This 608-nucleotide ribosomal RNA is filed under the name Lodderomyces parapsilosis. Its description in RNAcentral is "eukaryotic LSU rRNA". The stretch from base 267 to 420 matches the Rfam family "5.8S ribosomal RNA". The record is from RNAcentral. Lineage: Eukaryota; Fungi; Ascomycota; Pichiomycetes; Serinales; Debaryomycetaceae.
UAGCUGAGCGCUCGGAAGGAUCUUUUCAGGCUUUACCCCCAGCGUGCUGACUUCAGGUGACUCGCCCCCACAAACGUAACAAGGUUUCCGUAGGUGAACCUGCGGAAGGAUCAUUACAGAAUGAAAAGUGCUUAACUGCAUUUUUUCUUACACAUGUGUUUUUCUUUUUUUGAAAACUUUGCUUUGGUAGGCCUUCUAUAUGGGGCCUGCCAGAGAUUAAACUCAACCAAAUUUUAUUUAAUGUCAACCGAUUAUUUAAUAGUCAAAACUUUCAACAACGGAUCUCUUGGUUCUCGCAUCGAUGAAGAACGCAGCGAAAUGCGAUAAGUAAUAUGAAUUGCAGAUAUUCGUGAAUCAUCGAAUCUUUGAACGCACAUUGCGCCCUUUGGUAUUCCAAAGGGCAUGCCUGUUUGAGCGUCAUUUCUCCCUCAAACCCUCGGGUUUGGUGUUGAGCGAUACGCUGGGUUUGCUUGAAAGAAAGGCGGAGUAUAAACUAAUGGAUAGGUUUUUUCCACUCAUUGGUACAAACUCCAAAACUUCUUCCAAAUUCGACCUCAAAUCAGGUAGGACUACCCGCUGAACUUAAGCAUAUCAAAGUGGGGGAGGAA